AACGUAGGUGGCAAGCGUUGUCCGGAAUUACUGGGUGUAAAGGGAGCGCAGGCGGAAUGGCAAGUUGGAUGUGAAAUCUAUGGGCUCAACCCAUAAACUGCAUUCAAAACUGCUGUUCUUGAGUGAUGUAGAGGCAGGCGGAAUUCCCGGUGUAGCGGUGGAAUGCGUAGAUAUCGGGAGGAACACCAGUGGCGAAGGCGGCCUGCUGGGCAUUUACUGACGCUGAGGCUCGAAAGUGUGGGGAGCAAACAGG
This 253-nucleotide ribosomal RNA is filed under the name uncultured bacterium. Its description in RNAcentral is "partial 16S ribosomal RNA". It matches the Rfam family "Bacterial small subunit ribosomal RNA", at positions 524 to 776 of the family's 1533-position model. The record is from RNAcentral.